GCGAGAGUGGCGGAAUGGCAGACGCACCAGAUUUAGGAUCUGGCGCCUUCGGGCGUGGGGGUUCAAGUCCCUUCUCUCGCACCA
RNAcentral lists this transfer RNA (84 nucleotides) under Negativicoccus succinicivorans. RNAcentral's name for it is "tRNA-Leu". It matches the Rfam family "tRNA". From Rfam's summary of the family: Transfer RNA (tRNA) molecules are approximately 80 nucleotides in length. Their secondary structure includes four short double-helical elements and three loops (D, anti-codon, and T loops). Lineage: Bacteria; Bacillati; Bacillota; Negativicutes; Veillonellales; Veillonellaceae. RNAcentral also lists the same sequence under 3 other names. The record is from RNAcentral.